UAAGAAGUUGGGUGCUUGUUUUGGGGUGUUUGGAAGGUUUGGGAGGCUUGUAUGCAUGAGAGGCUGAGUUCUGGACGAACUCAGGUUCGGCCGCCGAAGGUAGUUUCGGCCGCCGAACCUGCCUGUGGAUGCAUGGAUUGGCCGCCUAACCUUGCCCCCGAAAGUUGAGUUUUGACUUGAAAGCAGACUUUCGGCCGUCGAAGGACGGCUGCCGAAAGUGCCUGACUUUCGUCUCUGGAGAGGGACUUUCGGCCGCCGAAGGUGCCGCCGAAAGAGCCCGAGUUUCGUCUCUGGAGAGAGGGUUCGGCCGCCGAAGGUGCCGCCGAAAGUGCCCUGUCCAGCCUUUUCAUGGUUGUUUUCUAUGCAUGCUUUGGUGAUGUUUUAGGGGG
This 389-nucleotide long non-coding RNA is filed under the name Manihot esculenta (cassava). Its description in RNAcentral is "long non-coding RNA (MESC_LNC012515)". Lineage: Eukaryota; Viridiplantae; Streptophyta; Magnoliopsida; Malpighiales; Euphorbiaceae. The record is from RNAcentral.